RNAcentral lists this ribosomal RNA (480 nucleotides) under uncultured bacterium. RNAcentral's name for it is "bacterial SSU rRNA". It matches the Rfam family "Bacterial small subunit ribosomal RNA", at positions 32 to 523 of the family's 1533-position model. The record is from RNAcentral.
AAUCAACGCUGGCGGCGUGCCUCAGACAUGCAAGUCGAACGAUUAAGACUCUCUUCGGAGAGUGCAUAAAGUGGCGCACGGGUGAGUAACACGUAAGUAAUCUACCCUCGAGUGGGGAAUAACGUCCGGAAACGGACGCUAAUACCGCAUAAUGCAGCGGCACCGCAAGGUGACAGUUGUUAAAGAUUUAUCGCUUGGGGAGGAGCUUGCGGCAGAUUAGCUAGUUGGUAAGGUAAUGGCUUACCAAGGCUACGAUCUGUAACCGGUCUAAGAGGACGGUCGGUCACACUGACACUGAAUAACGGGUCAGACUCCUACGGGAGGCAGCAGUCGGGAAUUUUGGGCAAUGGGCGAAAGCCUGACCCAGCAACGCCGCGUGAAGGAUGAAGUAUUUCGGUAUGUAAACUUCGAAAGAAUGGAAGAAUUAAUGACGGUACCAUUUAUAAGGUCCGGCUAACUACGUGCCAGCCGCCGCCGUAA